Molecule: RNA transcript, 5930 nt
Organism: Solanum dulcamara
Lineage: Eukaryota; Viridiplantae; Streptophyta; Magnoliopsida; Solanales; Solanaceae
Exons: 6
Source: RefSeq, a predicted model, not a curated record
AUAAAUUAUAUUUAUACAUUAUAAUCUUUUCCUCUUCGGCCACAGUUUUUUCUCUCUCUAAAAAAACCACAUUUCUCUCACUCGUCUAGGUCGUAAAAUUUACGAAGAUCGGAGAAUUGACCCGGUGCCCUUGGAAUUGAGUUAAGGAGGUUAGGUAUCUGACGAUAUUAGCGCGAUCGAGGACUUUGCGUUUUGUGAAUUUGGGAUUUCUAGGGUUGUUUGGGGCUUGGAGAAAAAUUGGGGAUUUUUCUAGGGUUUUGGUGGAAUAGAUUGAUAUUGUUGUCAAUUGUCUGGGGAUUGAAUUGGAUUGAAUAAUUGAUGUUUGAGGCUGGACUGGCUAGAAAAGGUGCUGAAAUAAUUGGGGAAGAUGCCAGUCGAUUUGUAUUAUGCAUGGGAAGGGACAAAGGGAAGGUGAACUUUGUCGACGCUCGACUUGUGGUCAGCACAUGCCGGUUACGACCACGACGACUGUAGCCGUCGGUGAUUCUUCUGUUGUUUCCACUAUUACCGCUGAUUCGUUCUGCAAGGAUGGUCGCAAAGUUAGUGUGGGUGAUUGUGCUUUGUUCAAACCACCUCACGAUUCCCCUCCUUUCAUUGGAAUAAUCCGAAGGUUAAAGUUGAGUGAAGACAAUAACCUGCAGUUAGGUGUUAAUUGGCUUUAUCGACCUGCUGAGCUUAAGCUUGGCAAGGGCAUCCUUCCGGAAGCCGCACCCAACGAGAUCUUUUAUUCCUUUCAUAGGGAUGAGACACCUGCUGCAUCACUACUGCAUCCGUGUAAAGUUGCAUUCCUUUCUAAAGGUGCUGAACUUCCAACAGGGAUAUCCUCAUUUAUCUGCCGGCGUGUUUAUGAUAUUUCAAACGAGUGUUUAUGGUGGUUAACUGAUCAAGAUUACAUCAAAGAGCUACAAGAAGAACUAGGUCAACUAUUAAACAAGACGCGAGUAGAGAUGCAUACAACAGUGCAACCUGGUGGUCGUUCUCCUAAACCAAUGAAUGGUUCCAUGUCAGCAUCACAAUUGAAACCAGGUUCAGAUAAUGUACAAAGCAGUGUAUCUUCUUUUCCUUCACACGUUAAGGGAAAGAAAAGGGAGCGGGGAGAUCAGGGGCCCGAGUCAAUUAAACGUGAACGUUCAAUCAAAACAGAUGAUAUAGAUUCUGGUCAAAUCAAAGCCGAAAGCAUAUUAAAAUCUGAAAUUUCUAAGAUUACGGAGAAAGGAGGGCUUAUAAACUCUGAAGGGGUUGAGAAGCUAGUUCACCUCAUGCAGCCAGAUAGAAAUGAGAAGAAAAUGGAUUUGAUCAGUCGUUCAAUGCUUGCAAGUGUUGUAGCUGCAACUGAAAAUUUUGACUGUCUUACUAGGUUUGUACAGUUAAGGGGUCUACCAGUGUUAGAUGAGUGGCUUCAAGAUGUUCAUAAGGGGCGGAUUGGUGAAUCUAGUAAUACAAAAGAUGGUGACAAAUCGGUUGAAGAAUUUCUAUUUGUUUUGCUUCGUGCUCUUGAUAAGCUUCCCGUGAACCUUCAAGCACUGCAGAUGUGCCAUAUUGGCAGGUCUGUCAAUCACUUGCGGCAGCAUAAAAACACAGAAAUACAGAGGAAAGCACGGAGUCUAGUUGACACGUGGAAGAAACGAGUUGAAGCUGAGAUGAACAUCAUUGAUGCCAAGUCCGGUUCAAAUCAGGCUGUCACGUGGCCUUCUAAAUCAAGGUUGCCUGAGGCUUCUCAUAAUAUUGCCAAAAAUCCUGGUGGUUCAAAUGAUGUGACAAAGAGUGCAGUUGCACAGCUUUCUGCAUCUAGAAUGGCCUCGAUAAAGACUUCACAAGGGGAGACUACUAUAAAGUCUGCGUCCUUGUCCCCAGGCUCAACAAAACCAGCAACAUCACUCGCAUUUGGAAAAGAGGGUCAGCCCAGAGUCUCGGUCGGUGGGUCUUGUGAUGUUCCUUUAGCUAGGGAAGACAAGAGCAGCAGUUCUAGCCAGUCUCACAACCACAGUCAGACGAUCUCGGGGAAAGAGGAUGGAAGGAGUUCAACUGCAGUGUCAAUGAACAGCAUCAAGAUCUCUACUGCUGGUUCUCGUCACCGGAAGUCAGUUAAUGGGUAUCCUGGAUCAUCAGUAUCUGGAAGCCAAAAGGAGAGUCCUGCAGGCAGAAGUUCGCAUAGGAAUUCUACUUCAGAAAAGUUGCCGCAGUCUGCAUUGGGUGGUGAGAAAGCUAUUGAUGUGCCAGUUCUCGAGGGGACUGGUCACAAACUGAUAGUUAAGAUAUCUAACAGGGGACGCAGUCCUGCACAGAGUGCCAGUGGAGGAUCAUAUGAGGACCCUACGAACAUGAGCAGCCGUGCUUCUUCUCCUGCGCUUUCUGAAAAGAGUGAUCAAUUUGACCGAACAUUAAAGGAAAAGACUGAUGCAUAUCAAUCAAAUUUUGAUGCAAAUGCUGAAUCAUGGCAGAGCAAUGAUUUCAAAGAUAUACUAACCGGUUCUGACGAUGGCAAUGGAUCACCAGCUGCUGUUCCAGAGGAGGAGCGAAGCAAGAUUGUUGAUGACAGCAGGAAAUCAGCGGAAGUUAGAGCUGCUUGUACAUCAGGGAUUGAACCGAAGUCUGGAAAGCUGCAUGAAGCUUCUUUUAGCCCCAUGAAUGCUUUGAUUGAGAGCUGUGUAAAAUAUUCAGAAUCAAACGUGCCUAUGUUGCUGGGCGAUGCUAUUGGAAUGAAUCUCCUUGCCAGUGUGGCUGCUGAAGAAAUGUCCAAGUCUAACAUGGUUUCACCUUUUGUUUCUCCACAAAGAAAUACCCCCGCUGCUGAAGAGGAUUGCACAGCUGAUGAUGUUAAGUCGAAGUCACCUGCUGGUGAUAUCUCUGCUGGUGACCGUAAAAAUGAUGAUGAUGGUAAUAGAGAGGAACUCGUUACUGCUCGUGCUUCAUGGUCCGAGGAUAAACUGCUUUCAUCCACGGGUGCUGCAAUGGAGUUACCUGGAGAUAGAAAGGUCUCCAUUUCACCCUCUCAAGAGACAAUGACAGGUGGAUGCAAUAAACAGUUCAACUCUCCCUGCUCUGAUUCACAGACAGCUGGAGAAACGUUGGAGAGCACUGAGAAGUCAGGUAAGGUGGAAAAGUAUGCUUCUUCACCUCAUAGUGUAUCUGAGAAGGCAAUUGAUGGUGAAUUAAGCCAACAAAUCCAUGAGGAAAUGGUGGUGUCCCGUGAGGUCAAAGUUGGUGCUCUAGAUGCUAAAUUAGGUGGAGAUGGUACUUCAGUAUUAGGAGACAAGGUCACUAAUAAAGUUGCAAGCUUGGAAGACCAGAAACCAGCAGAAUUUGAAAGUGAGAAUAAAAAUGGUGUGAACAGGGUGUUGAACAUUGCUAGUACUGAGAUGAAACCAUCUUCUGUUGUGGUAAAUUCUGAAAAGAUGGAGGGAAGUGACAAGGAAGAGCGCCUACCGACUGGUUCAAGUGGAGAUCCCACCACAGUCAGAGGUGGACGGUCUGAUGAAGCUAGUGUAGAUCUUGCUAAUCCGUCUGCAAAGGCAAAAUCCGAUCAAGGAAAUGUUGAAGCUUCAGUUGAGGAUAAAGCCCGUGUUCAAACCGACUUAACUACAAGAAAUCAGAAGGGUGAAGAUAGUGUUGAAAGGAAGGAUGUUGCUAUGCAGAACUCUGGCUUGUUACUUAAUCAGAAAGAUAGACUUGGAUUUUCAAAUGCAGAAGUACAGAAGCAUGGGGAAUGUAGAGAAUUGAACUUCUCUGCUGUUGAAGCAGAUAAAACAAAGGACUGUGGAUCUGCCAAUGUAGAGACUUCUUUUGUCUCUACUGCUGCUCCAGAGUCAACUUCAAAGGUGAAGUUUGACUUAAAUGAAGGUUUUAUUUCUGAUGAGGGGAAAUACGGGGAUCCAAUCAACCUUACAGGCCCUGGAUGUUUAUCAAAUGUCCAUAUUAUGAACCCAUUGCCUUUUGCUGUAUCCUCAGUUUCCUGUAGUUUGCCUGCCUCCAUUACUGUAGUUGCCGCCGCCAAAGGUCCGUUUGUUCCACCUGAGGAGCUAUUGAGGGUCAAAGGUGAGUUCGGAUGGAAAGGCUCUGCCGCCACAAGUGCAUUUCGCCCAGCUGAGCCCAGAAAAUCACUUGAUAUGCCAUUAAGUUCUGCAACCAUAUCUCAUACUGAAGCUUCUACCAGCAAGCACAGUCGCCCUCAAUUAGAUAUUGACCUGAAUGUACCAGAUGAAAGAACCUUCGACGACAUAAAUCUUCAAGAUUCUGCUCUAGAGUUGAUAUCUCCUUUGGACCAUAUUACUAAUCGUGCUUCAUUGAAGAACGAAGUGAUAGAUUCUCCUGCUGUUCGUUGUUCUGGAGGACUUGAUCUUGAUUUAAAUAGACUUGAUGAACCUGGUGAUGCAGGACAGUGCUCUGUGAGUAGCAGUUGUAGAUUGGACAGUGCUGCUUUUCCUUACAAAGCAUCAACGAUUGGUUUGCCAACUGGGGAUGUGAGAAGGGACUUUGAUUUAAAUAAUGGGCCUGGUGUUGAUGAGUCCAAUGCAGAACAGUCUCUAUUCCAUGAUAAUCACCAGGGAAACAUGCGUUCCCAACUACCUGCUUCUAACUUCAGACUGAACAAUCCAGAAAUGGGGAACCUUUCUUCUUGGUUUACCCCUGGGAGUACUUAUUCAACUGUGACACUUCCAUCAAUUUUACCUGAUCGUGUGGAGCAGCCGCCAUUCCCAAUGGUCACAACUGGUGCACAGCGAAUCUUGGGUCCUCCUGCUGGUUCUCCUUUCACCCAAGAUGUUUACCGGAGCUCGGUAUUGUCAUCAUCUCCUGCUGUGCCCUUCCAAUCCUCCCCUUUCCAGUAUCCUGUAUUUCCUUUUGAAACAAAUUUUGCACUUCCUUCUGCAUCAUUCUCAGUUGGAUCAACCUCUUUCGUUGAUUCUUCCUCUGGUGGAAGGAUUUAUACGCCAUCUGUAAAUUCACAGUUACUGGGUCCUGUUGGCACUGUGUCAUCCCAAUAUCCAAGGCCAUAUGUCGUCGGCCUUUCCGACAGUAACAGCAAUGGUACCAUGGACCACAAUAGAAAAUGGGGCAGGCAGGGCCUGGAUCUUAAUGCAGGUCCUGGAGUGGUUGACAUGAAAGGGAGAGAAGAAUCGGUUUCUUUGACGUCAAGGCAACUCUCUGUUGCCGGUUCUCAAGCAUUAGCAGAGGAGCAUGGUAGGAUGUAUGCUGUACCUGGUGGUGUUCUGAAGAGGAAGGAGCCCGAGGGAGGAUGGGACAGUGAGAGCUUCAGGUUCAAGCAGUCGUGGCAUUAAGAUCAGGAAAAGCUGCAAUCUGGUGAUUUUGAAAGGGAAGCGCCAGGACAUCAUGCAUUAAAUUGCGUACCUCAAACUCUAGUGGUGGAUGGACUUUGGCCAACUCCUCAGACUCUCAGCUUCUGGUAUGCCCAUGCAGGGGUGGGUGGUAAGUGAUGUGUUCAGAGUCUCCGACCUCCACCUCUUCAGUGUAUCAGUGUAGUAGGGAUUCCCAUGGUUUGCAAGCACUUUGGUCAGCUAUAUUCUGUGGGUGGAUGCAGAUGAGUUUUCCCUCUGUAGAUAUUUAACUGUUGGAAAGCUUGAAAUCUUUGAUGCCCAGGGACGGGGGGGAUAAAUCAAUGUUAUCCUUGUCCAAAUUAUUGACAUUGGAGGUCGAGUUCCAGACUGAAUCAAAUGGAAAGCUUUCUUUGUGCUUUGCUGUUAAUUAUCUUUCUUUGAUCCCCGUGUUCUUGGCAUUUCUGUGUCCUCCUUUUGCCCAUUACAUAUGUAUACAGGGGUUGGCACCAAAUUUUGGUACUAAUGCUUUCAUCAGGCAAGUUUUAGUUGUUGUGGCUGCCAUUGUACCAUAAAUUGAAUCAUUCUAACUUUAGCUGUAGUCUCAUUCACAGAUGAUAGAACUCUUGUUAAAGAUGAUAUUUUCAUUGGUGGUGGUGA